RNAcentral lists this ribosomal RNA (185 nucleotides) under uncultured bacterium. RNAcentral describes it as "partial 16S ribosomal RNA". It matches the Rfam family "Bacterial small subunit ribosomal RNA", at positions 1316 to 1500 of the family's 1533-position model. The record is from RNAcentral.
CUACAUGAAGCUGGAAUCGCUAGUAAUCGCGGAUCAGAAUGCCGCGGUGAAUACGUUCCCGGGUCUUGUACACACCGCCCGUCACACCAUGGGAGUCGGAAAUGCCCGAAGCCUGUGACCCAACCUACGGGAGGGAGCAGCCGAAGGCAGGUCGGAUGACUGGGGUGAAGUCGUAACAAGGUACC